CUCGGCAAUGAGUGGAUCGCCCUCCCUGCCAAAAGGAAGGCUUUGUCCACAUAGAUGCAAGAUUUGAAGGCUGCGUUGAGGUGGUCGACGACACGUAUGUGACCAACCCUGCCGGUGACUGCCCUCGCACUCGGGGCCCGUGCACGACGCCUUUAUGUGGAAGACAUCCACCGUGAGCCAGGACUGGGCAGUGGACGCCGUGGCCAGGUGAUAGUGCAUACUCGCUUCAACCUUGGCUGCUUAACCCCAUCCCUGGAGCACAUCCUGCAGAAUCCUCUGCUGCCCGAUUCCACCACACCCACUCUUCACUGCGGUGCGUCGUAUAACUGUGCACUGGAGUCCUCAAGGCCCACUUUCGGUGCUUGCAGAGGUACAGAACACUGUACUAUGGCCCACUCUUCACGUCGAAGAUCAUCGCAGUUUGUGUCGUGCUUCACAACCUCGGUGUUUGGCAGCAGCUGCCUGAGCCAGACGACAUCCCUUGCACUGAAGAACUCGAAUGAGAAUAUGCGGACCUUUACAACAACAAUAGCGACGAUACGGCUGCAGUGGACAUGGACCAGGCGGGUAGGCAAAGGCAGGAUCACGCUCUGUAGUGGUUCACAGCUGGGCACGACUCGAUGUAAUAGGGUUUACAUUCCUGCGAGAUGUGCACAGAAACGUGAAACACAAGAAGCUCUUGCUGUUUCCCAUGACAAAGUAGCCACUUGCAUUGUGUUCGAUCCUAUACCUAU
Long non-coding RNA from Rhipicephalus sanguineus (brown dog tick), 734 nucleotides. RefSeq lists it as uncharacterized. The transcript is spliced from 3 exons. NCBI's taxonomy places the organism in Eukaryota, Metazoa, Arthropoda, Arachnida, Ixodida, Ixodidae. The record is from RefSeq and is a predicted model, not a curated record.